CUAGAGAUAAGUAAGAUCCAUCUGUUUUUAAUGUUACAAUUGUGGAGAGGAUAUGUAUCUAUGAUGAAUACAUACUAAAUCCAACUUCCAAGAAAGAUAAAAGAAGCUAGGGAGAGAAUUGUACAGAAUAUGCUUUAAGUUGUUGUAAAUCUUCAACCACCUAGAAAAGUUUUGGAAUAACAAAUUGAGAUUUAAAAGGUGUGUAUUUCUUUGAAAAUUAUAGAGCUCAAUAAUGUAUGCAAACCAUGGCAGAAAGGUCUUACAAUUCACUCUGCGUUCUAACUGAAACAAAGACAACAUUGUCAGCCAAAGUAAGCUUUCAGAAUGUCUGUCCAUACAUAAUAAUGAAAGAAAGGAUCAAAGUUUUAGCAUGCUAGUGUCACUAUAGUGGGAGAGUGGCCCUUGUCAACUAUAGGAGUUCAUAGUGAAGCUAGUGCAGCAAUUUAGUGCAACAGUCAUAGUUGACCAAAUAGUGAGCUAAAACAGUUUUGACGGCAGCAUGUGUUAAUUUCAAAGAAAAAAAAAUCUAAACAAAGAC
Molecule: long non-coding RNA, 538 nt
Filed under: Vigna radiata
Lineage: Eukaryota; Viridiplantae; Streptophyta; Magnoliopsida; Fabales; Fabaceae
Description: long non-coding RNA (VRAD_LNC004019)
Source: RNAcentral